This 29-nucleotide non-coding RNA is filed under the name Mus musculus (house mouse). Lineage: Eukaryota; Metazoa; Chordata; Mammalia; Rodentia; Muridae. The record is from RNAcentral.
GCUAACAUGGUGGUUUCAGUCAGCUGACA